Molecule: non-coding RNA, 71 nt
Organism: Pocillopora verrucosa
Lineage: Eukaryota; Metazoa; Cnidaria; Anthozoa; Scleractinia; Pocilloporidae
Source: the annotation of a RefSeq genome assembly
UCUCAUAUGGCUCAGUGGUAGAGCGUUUGAAUUACCAAUCGAAAGGUCAUGGGUUCGACUCCCAUUGAGAG